GUUGCAUUGUUGAUUUGAGCAAAACCUGUCACUGCAGCUGCGUCGCCACCACCUCUCGAACCGACUGAGGAGCUGAAACCUGCCCUCGCUUAACAGCUGACACAGACAGGAGCGCUAAUUAAAAACUUCUGAGAGAGGAAACGGGAAUGCCUGGAGAAAACCCACCCAGGAAUGGGAAGAACAUGCAACACAGGAGGCGGGGGUGCAGAGUUGGAGUAAAUUCUGAUGAAAUCUCCUUAAGUAUAGAGACAAUACCUCGAAAAUGUUAAAUCUACAAAUUUAUUAUCGAUAGAUUCAUUGCUGCCAGCAGGGAUGGCAACAACCCCCACACGUCUGCUCAUGUCUACAGUUAUAUUUAUUUACACACACAUUCUGCUGUACUUCCCAAAACACGUAAAAGCCCUUGAAAAGGAAAAUCAGAGAAGUUUCCAUUCACUUGGGGGGGGGGGGGUGUUCUUAUUUAAACAAGCAAGUUCAAAUCACAUCAGUACAUGACAGCAUAAAAGCAGGAACACACUGUGCUUUGCUGUUAAGUUCUGUCAAAAAUGCUGCCUUGAAACUCCAUGCAUGAUUAAUGUUGAAAGACCAAGGAAAAGUGCAGAUCCCGUGCUAAAUCUUUGAUACAAAAAUGCAAAGGCCAAAAGAGGAAAGACUCCAAAGUUGAUAUUUUUAUUAAUAUUCAGCCUAAAAUUUGAUUGUAUGGUCGGUGCAUGUCCCGUAUAGCUGUGCGAUUCAUUUAAGGCCACAAUUUAAGAUGGCCCUGUUACGUCUGUUUCCAUGGAAAUACAGCUGGCUCUUAAGUAAAUACGCGAGUCACUUUGUCAAGACAUUUCCCAACACUGUUGAUCAAUUUAAAGGUAAUUUUCAUUCCGUAGUGACAGCCUUUCUCCCCACCUACGAGCCAACUAGCGGUCACAAUGUCGAUCCUCGAAAUGUGGGCGGUUGUUCGUUUUAGAUUCCCGGAACGGAAGUGUGUCGGCUUGUGAAGAGAAAGAAAAACCAUUUGAAAAGCAGACGAGCAUGAAUGAACAUACAAACAGUUUGGCCUCAUUCACUACCAAAUGCGUAGAAAUGUUCUGGCUUUUCCCACAAGUUGAGCAUGUACGCAAAAUCACUGGGAGCUUCAUGACAUGUGCGCACUGGAUA
Molecule: long non-coding RNA, 1146 nt
Organism: Syngnathoides biaculeatus (alligator pipefish)
Lineage: Eukaryota; Metazoa; Chordata; Actinopteri; Syngnathiformes; Syngnathidae
Exons: 3
Source: RefSeq, a predicted model, not a curated record